AUACGUAGGUGACAAGCGUUAUCCGGAUUUACUGGGCGUAAAGGGCGUGUAGGCGGUCUUGCAAGUCAGAAGUGAAAUUCCUGAGCUCAACUCGGGCGCUGCUUCUGAAACUGCAGGACUUGAGUGCUGGAGGGGAUAGCGGAAUUCCUAGUGGAGCGGUAAAAUGCGCAGAUAUUAGGAAGAACACCGGUGGCGAAGGCGGAUAUCUGGGCAGUAAAUGGAGUUUAGGCGCGCAAGCGUGGAGACCAAACAGAAUUAUAUACCCUGAUAGUCCACGCUGUGAACGAUGAAUACUAGGUGUAGGGAGUAUCGACUCCCUCUGUGCCGCAGUUAACACAAUAAGUAUUCCGCCUGGGGAGUUCGGCAGCAAGGUUGAAACUCAAAGGAAGUGUCGGGG
RNAcentral lists this ribosomal RNA (397 nucleotides) under uncultured bacterium. RNAcentral's name for it is "partial 16S ribosomal RNA". It matches the Rfam family "Bacterial small subunit ribosomal RNA", at positions 523 to 918 of the family's 1533-position model. The record is from RNAcentral.